GUAAUGAAGAUAAUGGUGACCUCCUUCAGAAGUUCCCAUGCACGCACUGCUGCAUUCAGUGCCUCCAACCCUGAAGCAGGCCACUGCUGAUCCACAUCUCUGCUGGAGACUCCUGGACACUCACAGGCAUGUCUGGGGAAAAGCUGUGGAAAGCAUAAAAGUAGACUCGAGUUCCAGAGAAGCAGGGUUGAAUCUCAGCUAAGCCUUGAGGGAGCUAUGUGACCUUGAGAAAGUCACCUGACAUUUCUGAGCCUCUGUGAAAGAGAGAGUCAUCCCCGGGCCAGGCAUGUCUGAUCUUAGCUCCCUGAGGAGGGAUAGAACCAGCAUUCCCUGCACUGAAAGGUGAAGUCUUAACCACUGGACCACCAGGGAAGUUGGAACUGUGGUGUUGGAGAAGACUCUUGAGAGUCCCUUGGACUGCAAGGAGAUCCAACCAGUCCAUUCUGAAGGAGAUCAGCCCUGGAUUUCUUUGGAAGGAAUGAUGCUAAAGCUGAAACUGCAGUACUUUGGCCACCUCAUGCCAAGAGUUGAGUCAUUGGAAAAGACUCUGAUGCUGAGAGGGAUUGGGGGCAAGAGAAGAAGGGGGCAACAGAGGAUGAGAUGGCUGGAUGGCAUCACUGACUCGAUGGAGGUGAGUCUCAG
This is a long non-coding RNA of Bos taurus (domestic cattle), 642 nucleotides long. Lineage: Eukaryota; Metazoa; Chordata; Mammalia; Artiodactyla; Bovidae. The record is from Ensembl.